CCCUUAGAUGUUCUGGGCCGCACGCGCGCUACAAUGAUGAAUUCAACGAGUUUAUAACCUUGGUUGAAAAGCCUGGGUAAUCUUUUGAACUUUCGUCGUGAUGGGGCUAGACCCUUGCAAUUAUUGGUCUCCAACGAGGAAUUCCUAGUAAACGCAAGCCAUCAGCUUGCAUUGAUUACGUCCCUGCCCUUUGUACACACCGCCCGUCGCACCUACCGAUUGAAUGGUCCGGUGAAAUCUUCGGAUUGAGACUUUGAUUUGUUUACUCAAAACGCUGUUUCAAGAAGUUGAUUAAACCUUACCAUUUAGAGGAAGGUGAAGUCGUAACA
Molecule: ribosomal RNA, 329 nt
Filed under: uncultured eukaryote
Lineage: Eukaryota
Description: partial 18S ribosomal RNA
Rfam family: Eukaryotic small subunit ribosomal RNA
Source: RNAcentral